UGUCUGAACAUGGGGGGACCAUCCUCCAAGGCUAAAUACUCCUUACCGACCGAUAGUGAACCAGUACCGUGAGGGAAAGGCGAAAAGAACCCCUGUGAGGGGAGUGAAAUAGAACCUGAAACCGUGUGCGUACAAGCAGUAGGAGCAGACUUGUUCUGUGACUGCGUACCUUUUGUAUAAUGGGUCAGCGACUUACAUUCAGUGGCGAGGUUAACCGAAUAGGGAAGCCGUAGAGAAAUCGAGUCCGAAUAGGGCGUUCAGUCGCUGGGUGUAGACCCGAAACCAAGUGAUCUAUCCAUGGCCAGGAUGAAGGUGCCGUAACAGGUACUGGAGGUCCGAACCCACUAAUGUUGAAAAAUUAGGGGAUGAGCUGUGGGUAGGGGUGAAAGGCUAAACAAACUUGGAAAUAGCUGGUUCUCUCCGA
RNAcentral lists this ribosomal RNA (424 nucleotides) under Thalassiosira minuscula. Its description in RNAcentral is "partial Bacterial large subunit ribosomal RNA". It matches the Rfam family "Bacterial large subunit ribosomal RNA", at positions 435 to 862 of the family's 2925-position model. The record is from RNAcentral. Lineage: Eukaryota; Bacillariophyta; Thalassiosirophyceae; Thalassiosirales; Thalassiosiraceae.